UACGAAGGGGGCUAGCGUUGCUCGGAAUCACUGGGCGUAAAGGGUGCGUAGGCGGGUUUUUAAGUCAGAGGUGAAAUCCUGGAGCUCAACUCCAGAACUGCCUUUGAUACUGAAAGUCUUGAGUAUGGGAGAGGUGAGUGGAACUGCGAGUGUAGAGGUGAAAUUCGUAGAUAUUCGCAAGAACACCAGUGGCGAAGGCGGCUCACUGGCCCAUAACUGACGCUGAGGCACGAAAGCGUGGGGAGCGAACAGG
RNAcentral lists this ribosomal RNA (253 nucleotides) under uncultured bacterium. RNAcentral's name for it is "partial 16S ribosomal RNA". It matches the Rfam family "Bacterial small subunit ribosomal RNA", at positions 524 to 776 of the family's 1533-position model. The record is from RNAcentral.